GACACCGAACUGGGCUCCAGUGUCACCCUGCCACAGACACCGCACUGGGGCACUGCUGUCACCGGCACUGAACCUGGGCACCAGCGUCACCCUGUCACCGGCACUGAACCUGGGCACCAGCGUCACCCUGUCACCGGCACUGAACCUGGGCACCAGCGUCACCCUGUCACCGACACCAAAUCUGGGUGCCAGUGUCACCUGUCACCCACACCAAAUCUGGGUGCCAGUGUCACCUGUCACCCACACCAAAUCUGGGUGCCAGUGUCACCUGUCACAGACACUGAAUCUGUCACAGACAAGAAACAGAAUUUUUGUUCACAAAAGGCAAGGGUCUACAGAGGCGAUUGGCUGGGCAGGAGCUGUGUCCUAACGAUUAUCCCAGGAUCCUGCAGAUGCUGGAACACAGCGUCAGCCCCUCAGAGCAACCCCCUACAACAAAGGUUAAGUCUAAGGGCGUGUUCCUUACGGGUGAAACGCAGUGAGAGGCUGCACGAGCAAACGAGCUUGUAGCUGCUCCUGUCUACUGAAGAUUAUAUUGCACACUGACCUCAGGCAGUUCUAAUGCGUACAAGAGCUAAUGAGAUUGCUCUGCAUUCAGGCAGUCCAGGGCAGUAGCAGCUGAUGCAGCAAUCUGAGCGUACACCUGGACCAGCACAGCUGGACUGAGGAAACCACGGUCUGUACUUCCAGGUAUCAGCUCUGUGGAAGAACCUUGCAAAUCUCAGAGAGCCAGGGAGCAAAAAAAUGCUCUUGUGUAGAGGAUAUCCUGUGACCAAGGAGA
Vidua macroura (Pin-tailed whydah) is the source of this 781-nucleotide long non-coding RNA. RefSeq lists it as uncharacterized. NCBI's taxonomy places the organism in Eukaryota, Metazoa, Chordata, Aves, Passeriformes, Viduidae. The transcript is spliced from 3 exons. The record is from RefSeq and is a predicted model, not a curated record.